Molecule: small nucleolar RNA, 66 nt
Filed under: Euglena gracilis
Lineage: Eukaryota; Euglenozoa; Euglenophyceae; Euglenales; Euglenaceae
Description: Eg-m65 box C/D methylation-guide snoRNA
Source: RNAcentral
UGAGGACACCAAUCGGUGCAGGUGAGUUGGAUGACCACUGAUUAUGACCGAUUUGUCCCGCUGAGG